AUAACAGCUAAUAAUCAGGACAGAGCGAACUGACUCACAAUCAAAGAAAGUUCACAAAUCUUUUUCGAAGAGCAAGUCAAUUUUCCUUGAAAAGGGCAUUUGAAAAAAUUUUCCCUAUAUAAAUUAUUUUCCCUAUAUAAAGUAUAAUAAUUUGAGCAUGCUAUUAAAAGAAAAUUUGUUGAAGUUAUCAAAUAAGUGCCUAUAUAAAUUAUUUUAUUGU
This 220-nucleotide unclassified non-coding RNA is filed under the name Hevea brasiliensis (rubber tree). The record is from RNAcentral. Lineage: Eukaryota; Viridiplantae; Streptophyta; Magnoliopsida; Malpighiales; Euphorbiaceae.